GAUGAAGAACGCAGCGAAAUGUGAUAAGUAAUGUGAAUUGCAGAAUUCAGUGAAUCAUCGAAUCUUUGAACGCACCUUGCGCUCCUUGGUAUUCCGAGGAGCAUGCCUGUUUGAGUGUCAUUAAUAUAUCAACCUUCUCUUUUUUGAGUUGUUUGGAUGUGGGGGUUUGCUGGCCUCUUAAAUGAUUCAGCUCCCCUGAAAUGCAUUAGCAGAACAACCUGUUCAUUAGCGUGAUAAUUAUCUAUGCUAUUGAAUGUGAGGGCAGUUCAGCUUUCUAACCGUCCUUGGACAAUUCAUCAUUAAUGUGACCUCAAAUCAGGUAGGACUACCCGCUGAACUUAAGCAUAUCAAUAAGCGGAGGA
RNAcentral lists this unclassified non-coding RNA (362 nucleotides) under soil metagenome. Its description in RNAcentral is "partial contains 5.8S ribosomal RNA, internal transcribed spacer 2, and large subunit ribosomal RNA". The stretch from base 1 to 120 matches the Rfam family "5.8S ribosomal RNA", at positions 35 to 154 of the family's 154-position model. The record is from RNAcentral.